GCGGGUGUCGUACAGUGGUAGUACACCGGUCUCCAAAACCGGCGACGUAGGUUCGAUUCCUGCCACCCGUGCAA
This 74-nucleotide transfer RNA is filed under the name Candidatus Moraniibacteriota bacterium. RNAcentral's name for it is "tRNA-Trp". It matches the Rfam family "tRNA". Rfam says of the family: Transfer RNA (tRNA) molecules are approximately 80 nucleotides in length. Their secondary structure includes four short double-helical elements and three loops (D, anti-codon, and T loops). The record is from RNAcentral. Lineage: Bacteria; Candidatus Moraniibacteriota.